CCUCUCUUGGUCAUUUAGAGGAAGUAAAAGUCGUAACAAGGUCUCCGUUGGUGAACCAGCGGAGGGAUCAUUACCGAGUUUACAACUCCCAAACCCCUGUGAACAUACCUUAUGUUGCCUCGGCGGAUCAGCCCGCGCCCCGUAAAAAGGGACGGCCCGCCGCAGGAACCCUAAACUCUGUUUUUAGUGGAACUUCUGAGUAUAAAAAACAAAUAAAUCAAAACUUUCAACAACGGAUCUCUUGGUUCUGGCAUCGAUGAAGAACGCAGCAAAAUGCGAUAAGUAAUGUGAAUUGCAGAAUUCAGUGAAUCAUCGAAUCUUUGAACGCACAUUGCGCCCGCCAGUAUUCUGGCGGGCAUGCCUGUUCGAGCGUCAUUUCAACCCUCAAGCCCAGCUUGGUGUUGGGAGCUGCAGUCCUGCUGCACUCCCCAAAUACAUUGGCGGUCACGUCGAGCUUCCAUAGGGUAGUAAUUUACAUAUCGUUACUGGUAAUCGUCGCGGCCACGCCGUUAAACCCCAACUUCUGAAUGUUGACCUCGGAUCAGGUAGGAAUACCCGCUGAACUUAAGCAUAUCAAUAAGCGGAGGAA
Molecule: small RNA, 589 nt
Filed under: uncultured fungus
Lineage: Eukaryota; Fungi
Description: eukaryotic LSU rRNA
Rfam family: 5.8S ribosomal RNA (bases 222-375)
Source: RNAcentral